GCUGGCAGCGCUGUGCCCGGCCAUGGCAGCAGCCACACGCAUCCGCUGCCCUGGCUUCUUGUGGUUCGCAAAGCCAGAUCCUGCAAAUCUCCAUGAACGCUCCCACUAAAUUCUGAGGGCAUUUUCGCGUGUGAGACUUAACUCGCCUGCAGAAGUAUUCCCAGAACUAGGCCUCGCUUGAACUAUCCAUGGCAGCCUGAGUUUAACUGGCUCCUCAUCUAAAAACCAGUUGUUACCCACACAUUGCAUCCCAAACUGCUGCAGCACCACCACACCACCUACUCUGUGACCGCAGAGCGUCCCAGCAGAGCCCUGGGACAAGUUUCCCUCUUCUGUGUUGCUUUUCACACCACCUAUUAUAAUAACAGCAAGUUACAACAUCACCAAUGCACAGGUAACUAGCACAGCGGAGUCCGUGAAGGGAUGCAUGUAGCAGGGCUGAAACUAAUUUAAUUUUUUUGCAACUGCCUCUGUUCAGCCUUAAUAUUAGCAUUAAUACUUUCAUUUUCCUCAUUUAAAUACAAUAAAAGGGAAAAUUGCCUUUGCUUAAUAUUGUUACUACUCAGGUUUUGCAAUUCCAGUUUUUAUAAAGCGAUAAAGUCAGGGAGAAGUUAGUGUACACCUUUUCUGCUGCUGGACUCAGUGCCCUCAGCAGCAGCUAUGGUGGGAUCACCUACUGCAGCUGGGAAGAGUUGGGCAAUAAAGAAGUCAUUCUUGGAAUAUCCUACAGUCCAAGUGUCAUUUUCAGAAGCCUGAAAUUGAAAGCACUGGGUUGUGAGUUGUUUUUUUUUUUAACCCAAGCUACUCAGGAUGCUGUCUGGCUUGGCUAGAAGGACAAGUUCACUACACGUUUCUGUUCUGGAAUCAUUUUGAACUGCUUUUAGUCUAAAUUCUUGCCUGUCUUAACUUUCCUUUCUCAGCAGAGUAUAUUACUGAUACAUGUUUUUGGUAGACUUGAAAAGCAGUGUGUACAGCUUGAUUGUUGUCUGUAUUUCGUCAUUCAUUUUUAAGUGAGGCUCUUUUGAUUGAUGUUAGGAAUUUGUUUGAAGGGAUGAAGGAUAUGCCAAGAUGCUACGUAAAAUUGCACCCUACCUCAGCUUACAGAGAUUUUUCAUUGUGAUUGUCACACUUUUAAAAGCGCGUGAGUUAAUCAAAUUGCUAUUUUUGGAAUGCACUUAAAGGAACAUUAAAAUGCAUUAAUUUCAUUAAAAUAAAUGAGCAGAUAGGUAACAAAACAAGUAUCAGCCAAAUAAGCAAGAUCUCAACUAUGAAGCCAAAUCCAGCCCUAGUGAAAUCAUCUGAGUUGUGCUUGUCUACAGCACAUUUAAUUUGGCUUCUGCAGUCACACAGCUGACGCUUUAUUUGGUUUUCAGAGGUGUGGAUAUUAAAAAUGUGCGAGCCAUGCUGCUUAACCACUGAAGUGAAAUUCACCUGGUUCCCAUUUAGCUCUGCUGUGCAGUGCUGUCACACAUGUAGUUCUUGGUGUGCAUACACACCUGAGAUGCAGAGAGGUAUUCCCAGCCCCUAUGUCAGUCUAAGGGAUGUGAAUGGAAUGUGAAGUGAGGGUGUGCUGAGGUGGAUUUCAGCAGAGGCUGGUCACAACCAGCUGCAUAUAUGUGCUCCAGUUAAUAGGCUGUACUGGAGUCUGUGCUACCAUCUCUCAUUACUGCUGUUACUCAUGCCAGUGAGAGUAAAGGAGGGGUUGGUGUGUCUGUAAUCACAUAUUAAUUUGCUAUGUAGAUAUAUCCUAAGAACCUCUCAGCCCAGGAAAAUUAUGCUGGAAUAAGGUCGGAUGUGAAUGUAAAGCAGAACUGUGUUCAGUUUAUUCAUUCUGGAAUGACCGAGUUGUUUCCUGGUUUCACUUAAUCCACUUUCAAAGUGGAUUAAGGUAAUUCAAGAAACUGAAUUCUUACACUGGCGCAGGAGUUGUCUACACAUGGGUUUAGUUGAACAUAAUUACUGCAGUGUACCUAAUAAGUGUCUUGAAAUAACUUUGUGUGUAGACGAGUCCAGAGUCCCACCGGUGAAAACAACAGAAUUUAGUCAUUUUGUAUAACAGGAGGUUAAUUUAGCCCAACAUUUGAUCUACUUCUUUUCUCAUGAAGCAUAUUUAAUUCAUGACAGGUUUUUUUGCUUCAAUGAAAUCCCCACAACAGAAAUGUAUUUAUGAUCAGUGUCAAGAUAGCAAUGCCAUGUGCACUUCACUAAAAAUAAACAAUUUAACCAGUAUAUACUCUAAAUACCUUCUCAACUGCCCUAAAGAGGAGAAAAGGUUCUUUACUGGAAGAAAUACCAGCUUCUCAAUCAUAAAUAUUUUAAAUGGGCUGUUCCAACAAAAGGUAAACAAACCCCAAAGCUCUGCUCUGUCCUCUGAGACACAAUCCAUUUGACUGCAUUCCAUUCAUAGCAAUAGCACCCAGUCUGACUCAGCAAUAUUAGUUCCUGAAUGAGGAACCUCACAAACUCACACAGAAGGGUUUGCAGAGCAAGAGGGCCUUCAGGAGGCACCUUAAGAAGAGAGAGCUAAUUUGUAGUUUGCUUACAGAGGUCUGAAUUGGGGAGAAAAUACCUAAAACCCAGGCAGGCUCUCUGCCUCUGCUCUGAAUCCGGUGUAUUGCAUCACUGGCAAUGCAGGAAAGUGACUGAACUGAUAAUGAGAAUGUAUAAGGUGUUUUGUGACAUUGUGCCAAGCACAGAGUUUGUCAAGUAUCAUUCAGUGUCAUUCCAUGCCACAGACAUCGACUCUCUAAUGUGAAUGAAGCCUCCUAAACUUUAAAUUUAAAACUGUUUGUUGGUUUGCUUUUGUCAAAGGAAAUGGCGAGGAGGAGGGGAUGGAACCAAAAAAAACACUAGAUGAGGUAGAAAUUAUGUAAACUCUGGUAGUAAACAAGCCAAUUUUUUAAAAGAAGCAUAAAUAUAAAAGCCAAAUGAUACAAACUGCUGACCCUUUAAACAUUGACAUAGGAAAAGCCAUUAAAAGCUAUGAAGAUGAAAAAAUCCAACUUCUACUUUGUGUCAAGGACUGCAAUGGGUCACACAUUACAGAGGGUAACCUGGAGUCUUCCCUUACACAGAUAAAGUAGUCCCAGCUACUCUGUAACAGGCAAGGAUGCCCACAGGAUUCUCAUUUUGUGAUUACAAGCAUGGCUUUGCCCUCCUGUGCUUGUCUUGGUUAAGGAUAUAGGAAAUGGAUUUCAUCUACAACCCACUUAUGCCAAACCUGUUUAUUUAAUUAAGAAUAAUUCUGGUAACAAAAUAAGCAUUGACUGAAGAAGGUAAACAUGGAGAAACAUAAACAAGAAAUCAAGUGCUUAAAUUCUGUGGUGCUGAAUGACUUUGACCAUGGGUCUUGAUAUUGAGGCUCAAAUAUUAAGCCCGGUAUUAAACUCAGAUUGAAGGCAAUGAGAGUUUUAUAGGAACAUGCCUGAUAUGAAAUCCUGCUUGAAUAAAAAAAUGAAUUGGAUUAUUGUGUGCUCUGCUUCCACUGAGAGAUCUCUGAGUGUGGGAUCCACCUGCAGUGCUGGGGUAUCCUGGCUCUCCCCCACUCCUGUCAUUACAGGGGCAUUACUCAUCCAGAGAGGAAGGUGUCCUAAAUUCCCAAGACGAUUGGCACAGCACACACAAGAGGAAAUCUCAGCACUCAGCCAAUGCCAGGCAAUGAAGGAUCCUCUCUGGGAGUUGGAGGCUACAGUCAUGCUCUCUGCUGUUUCCCUUCUCUUGUCUGAAUAACCUUAAAUACUGAUGGUACAUCUUCAAAAGGAGAGUGGAAGCAGCCUGUGCAUGGAAUAGUUUAUAGACUGGAAGAAGAGCAAACGCAAAACCUUUCAUCCCUGAACUUGAAUUCUCCAAGUGCUCUGUUGUAUAUAAUGACGGAGGAACUAAUAUUGUUGCAGUAGAGAAGAAAGCAUCCAAGACACUCCAUUAUGGAACCCCAACACUGUUUGUAUUCAUUAUCUUCCCUGAGGUUGCACAGCUUCACCUGGCAUGUUAAGUAGGUCAGUGUUGGGUCUUAAAUAAUUUUGGAUGCCUCAACUCCAUCUAGACCCUGCUUGAAGCCCAUAGACAUUACCCAGCUUUAAGAGUUCAGUGAGUCUUCUGACUUUUCAGAAUGUGUCAGUACAUCUCCAGGCACUCACAAAAAGCUGUGCUUGCAAAGAUGGGAUAGAUACAGUUAGAAAAUGGUGUACAGGAGCAUAUAGGAAGGCCUCUCUAAGCAUCAGCCAGGGUGACAAAGCAUGCUGGCCCAUGGGUUCCCAGGCUGUAUUCACAGCCCUGGAAUGCCUGCUGGAAACACUCCCCUGUAAUUUAGCUCAUUUGGUGUGCAUUAAGGAUGCUCAUUUCUAGACCCCUGAGUGAAAUGUGAUACUGAACUCAUUCUUCCUCUUACACCAACAGGCCUCAGGAGAUGGCCAAGAGGCCGAUGGGAAGGAGGGAACACCAGUUUUAAUCCAGUUGUUCAUGAUGGAAAACUAUGAGAAAAGUGAAAAGAUCUUAUUCCACAGACCAAGGCAUUUACUUAUAUUUAUCUGCCUAACCUCAGUCAGAACCCUGAAUUCCAUUACUCUAUGUGAAUGUUAUGGUAUGGUCUUAUUUGGUAAUUACCUGGUCAGAGCCACAGACAAUAUGCAGCUAGUGAAAGCCUGGUGGAGGCAUACCAGUUUCUACCAGCUGAGAAUCCAAUCUUCAAUUUCAAAUUAAAAUAUUGAGAAGUUGCAUUUUCCAUGGCAUUUUAGUCAUAUUAUACAGAGGGGGAAAAAAAAAGGCAAGAAAAUAAAAAAUAAAGUUGUAGCUAUUUAUAUAACCAGGACAGAAGCAGAACCAAUGUGAAAUCUUUAGCAAUGAAAUUGUACAUCCAAAUUAUUAGGUAUUUCAGUGUUGGUGCCAUUUGGAUUACUGCUUAACUUUAGGGCAGCAAGGUAAGCUCAUUUUCUUGCCUCUGUCUUUUCAGCCACCAUUAGGGCUCCCUUCCCAUCCUCCAGGGAGAGGGAGAGAAGUUACACAAUGGGUGUUUUUCCAUGGGCGGAUGUCUAAAUGUGAAGGGAAACAAUUGAAUUUUAAUGACAAUUUUGAGACUCUUGAAGUUAAUUUCUGGGCAGUGCAGAAAUUAGUGGGGCUUGCUGCUGCCAAGAGCUGCAUGUUCUCCUCUCCUUCUGAUGUUAGUAGGAUUACAGGUCUCAGCUUUUGGCAGAAAUAACUCCCGAAAUAGUAGGUCCUUCUCUCAAAAGGGAGAGCAAGAGACCUCCAGCUGUCAGACCCAACCAAGUGUCAGGGUAGAGCAGUGGCUACAAAAAACAGUGUAACUGCACCAUAUUUACACUGCCAGAGAUGUGUUCUCAUUUGGUAUUUACAGCAUUAUCCAGGGUGGAAUGGCAAAUUUGCUAGGUGCUGCACAAAACAUUUAACUGGAAAAAGUUCCUGCAUCCAAAAGCACAACAAAAAUGAUUGAGGAAGGAGAGUGGCAAACAAUGGGAUAUCCUGAGAAAAAAAGUGCACCAGUGAUUGCAGCAAAGGCAGCCAGCUAUGAAGGCUUUUCCUACACACAAGGUAACAAUAAUUCUGCUAAGGAGGCAAGUUAUUUCCUUUUUAGCUAUGCUAUUUCCACUGCAUUACUGAAUCAUGGUUUGUUAAUAGCUUACAGAAGUUUAAGUUUAAAAAGCUUUAGAAACUUUGUCAUACCUAAGACAAUACGUACCAAUUUAUCAAUAUCUAUAAAAAUACAUAAUCCAAUAGGUUUUGGGCUUGUGGUUGUCAGGAUUGGGUUUUUUAAUGCCUUUAAUAAAGAAGGGAUAAUUUUGGUCUUGUUUUUGUGUUCUUAGAAGACUCAGAAAGGAAUAUAAUGGGUAGUCCCAAAAUCUGUAUCUAAUUGUUGAUGGCAAACUAGAAAAUAAAAGAUGCUUCAAAAUAGUGCCAGUCUUUUAAUCUGCUCUGUAGUUGGAUGAUAGAAUGUCAAGCAUUUUCACCAAAAGCACAAGAGCCAUUACAGUCUUUUCAAUUUUGAACUAUGCAAUUAUAGCCUCAAACAGGUCAUGGAAGGGUUCAGCCUUCCCCAUGUUACCGCUCUGGUCAGAUGGCAGCUCCAGCCAAAAGGAAAGAAGAAAAGAGGACAGCCAUAGCCACCUGGCAGUGCCUUUUUGCACAGCAAAAAGCAGGCAGGGGAGGAGGGACCUGGUACCCAGCCAGGUGUGGCAGCACUUCGAAACCAGGCUGCCAAGCUGGAGCUCAUCCUCUGAAUGGGAUUCUGCAGGGGGAGGCACAGAGAAGGUAACACUGGGGAACUGCUUCCCUUGCAAAGAUCCUGUGUCCCCAUUUACCCUCUCCCAUGAGACGGCCGAACGUGCCCCUUAUUUGGCAGAAAGUGUUCAGCCUGGUGUUGAGUAUGUUACUGUGUCCACCAGUCUGCUACAGAGUCCAGAAAACAUUCAGUUACAGGAGAAUUAAAAGAAGCAUUAGGGAGACUCACAUUACUGACUGAUAACAAACCAUUUUUUCCUAACACCAUUUUUUAUGUACUGUAUCCGGAGUUUAGCUGUGUCCAUUAUUUCCUUCUACUCACUUAUUUCUCCAAAGGUGAUUUUACUUAGAUCAAAUUUCUGCACUGUACUACUGGAUACUAUGGUACAGUUCAUUGCUCUAGAACAAUUUCACUGGUUUAGAAACUCCACCAUAAUGUUUUGCCACUAGAUUUCUCUUGAGAAGUAGAGGCACUGGUUCACAAACACCCCUUCCAAGUCCUUAUGGAGCCUUCCCAAGAGCCUGUGUUACCCUUACCAGGCUUGCAUGCACCGCUAACUCUCUGUGCCCCUGCUCUGAGCCCUUGAGACACGGGUGCUCUGUUAAGACUACAGAGAAAGGAAAAGCAUGGCCGCGAGCAACAGUCAAUCAUUUUAAUGGCUGUUAAUGUAAAAACAUAUUCCUAACCUUACUUACUUACAGCCAGAUACAUGGUAGGAGACAUGGUUUUGCAUGAACCAAUUUAUUUUUUCUUCUUAACUCUUUUGUAUGAGCGAUGAUUUUUGAGAGAUUGUUGCAGUAAUGUUCAGCUGUUAUGAGACUGCUGCUUCACAUUUCUACCAAGACCGCUCAGAGUUAACAUCCAGAAAGAGUUUCCUCUAUUCCAGCAGUAGUUGCUACUGCUCAGAACAACUCUUUAGGUACAAGUUUAAUAGAAAUGGCCCUUCACUAUUUUCCACUACAGCUCAGGUUUUCUGCCUCAGCUUUUGUGCUGCUGUGAGCCUGUACAAAAUGGGAUGCUAAUUUUCAUCCCCCUGCCCUCAGUCCAAGAAGUGCUAUGCAAGAGUAAUUCCAUCUGAUUUCACAUAAUUCUGCACCUAGAAAUACAGGAGUUAACAGUCAAGAAGUUCUUUGGGUACUGGAAAGAUUAACAGGUCUUUCAGUCCUCUUUCAGUGACCACAAGGUACAGGCCUUAUAGACAUUUGAUGAAUGAAGGGUUGCCUCUAAAUGAAAGCAUGGCACAAAGCUCUAGAGGAAAUCAUUGCAGCAAGAUUUUGGGAGUUUGUGAAGGCACCAUGAAAUGGACACACUUUAUGAGGCUACAACAUGUGUGUAGAGGGUAUAUGCAACCUGCUCUGUAUUUCUAAAAUGAUCACCAACAUAUCAUUGGGAACUUGGGCUUCUGAGAGUCAUUUCUCUCUCUGUGCCUUGGUUCCCUUAUAUGAAAGUCAGGAUUAUGUCUUUGGUGCCCCUUGGAUGAACAGAACAAGUUCCCCUCUUAAAUGUCAAGUGUUACAAUCAAUCACAGGUUUACCAUGUCUUUUUCUGCCUAACCAUUUAAAACUAAUAAUAUCAAAAUAAGCCACUCAAAAUUAUUAAAGAUUGCAGAAGUCCCAGACUGUGGAACAUGAAUCUCAGUGAUUUCAGUGUGAUGGAUGGAUGUGAUGCCAGCCUCAGAGAUAAGAAUUAGCUUCAAUGUGAUUUGAAAGAUCCGAGAACUCCAGGGACAAAUGAUUUGUUGUGCAUUUUGUGUUAGAUCAGGAAAGAUCUAUGCCAGUCCCAACACUGUCUAUUGUUCCUCUCCACUUUGAAUAUUUUCCUACGAAUGCUGCUUGCUGCCUAACAAGCUAUCAAAAAAACUACAGACCCCAGCAUUCAUUCUAUGGUUGAAUUUAUUGUGUUUUCCCUCUUAAAGAAUUUUUAUUUUGAAAUAUUGAUGAAAAAUUAUUUGCCAGGUAAUCAGUAAAGGAACUGAGAUAUAAUGCAGUCAUUAUAGUCAUUCUCACAUACAUGGGUCUUCUACAAGUGAUCCUUUCUUACAUAAAUGCACUUAUGCUUAAGGAAGGUUAGAUGCUACAUUUUCAGCAAUUUCUUUCUUUUACCAAGACAGAUAACAUUGGAUACAUAAAGUUCCUCUUUUAUGUGACACUUCCUUUAAAGCAAGUUUGUCCCCUUGAGUAAAUUUUUCCUUGGCUGUGAUGUGAUAUAUAUACACACACACAUCUGUAUCUGUCAUAGAUAUCUACAUUUAUAUAUCACACUUACUCCACUGCAGGAUGUUAUUACUGAUUGGAAAAAGAAAAACAAAAAGGACAAAUUUCUCUACUCAGUGUUUAAGAGUAGUUGGUAUCACCAAAUUCAGAAGUGUGAAUUCCUUUUUUUUUUGCACCUGAAUACACCACCCGCCCGAGCAGCACCUGAUGUCAGUAGCAGUUCAUGUAUGUGUGCAGCUGCCAAAUCUUUUGAUAUCCAGGUGCCACUGGAAACCAUCAUUGGACUACAGUAUUUUUUUCUGACAUAUGUAAAAUAUUCAUUCAAUCAGACUAAAAGUGUUAAACACUUUCUACAAAGACAUGUUGUAAAGAAUUCCAAGUGUCUUUUGAAAAAGGAGUUGCUACCCUGUAUCCUACUAAAAUGCAUACUACUUCCAACAUUUUUCAAGUAGGCAAGAUGAAUAUGGAGGGAGGAGGGAAGAAAAUUAUUCAGAGAAAAUUCAAGUUAGAAAGAGAAAAAAAAUUCUUAUUUAUAGUUCAGAGAUCUGUGCUAUUUUAAUUCCUCAUUUAAAAAACUAUUUUAAAUUAUAAAUUGCAAGCCUAUUGCAGAUAUCUUGCUCUUCUUGCGUGAAUACAAAAAUAUGAAAGAAUAAGGUAAAAGAAGUUAUUAAAUAGUGAUUUAAUUUGUUCAGAAAGCACUGAGUGAUAAGCAUCUGCAUGGAAUUACAUAGCUCAGUUCUACUUGAAAAUUCUCCUAACUGGAGGAAAACAUGCAAGAUCCUCACCCAUUUUAACAGCCGUCAUAAAUGGAUGUUAAACUUAGCAGCAACAGUUCAUUGGCAGCUUCCCAAGACCGGCAUCAAUGUAAGAAUUUGUAUUUGAUAUGAACGGGAAAAAAAAUCAUUUUUAGUGCUGUAUUUGAAUGAAGGUUUGAAAUAAUUAAACACAGUACACCAAAGAUGCCACUCAUGGACAUGAGAACUAUUUCAGGGGAGAGGGAGGAGGGCAAACUUCUCACUGCAUGAUGAAAAAUAUGAAAGUAUUAAGUAGAAAUAUUUCAAGAAAUUAAGGCCUGGAACUACAGCUUUCAACAAAGAAGAUGAUGUCAGUUCUGUGUAUUCCUGCACAAGAAAACCAAAGUGCUGGCUGGGAUUUCUGAGCAUUUCCACAACCCAAACAGUAAGAGGAAGCUGUUCAAAGUCAAGAGUUUCAGUGUUAAUUGCAAUGAAAACAGAUCAGAGCCUUUAUCUUAAUCAGUUACUUAGAAUGAACUGAUACUGAUUUAUCAUCUUUUCUCCCUCUGUGUUUAGAGCCAGAGUCACAAAUUACUGAUGUGUUUUCAAAGUCCCACACAUGAACAAUAACAUGCAAUUCUUGCAAAUAUUUUGAGGGAAGGGAUUGCCUGUAUUUUGCCAGUGCUGUACUUCAGGGUCAUGAGUCACUAAAAAAAUAUGGAGAAAUAUUUAUUUUUGUGCUUUGAACAAGAAGUCUUUUGUGACAGAAUAUAAGAGUGGGGAAGUAGUUUCUAAGUUUAUUAUUACUACUCUAUUUAUUAAGAGUGACAAACUUUGAAACAGUUGAAAUAUUUAGAUGGAAACAUGCCAUUAUCUCCAGUAUUUUCUGCAAAUGUUCAGUCAACAUCCUAAUUGUACUCCUGUCCUAUAUGAUGAAAUGAGCUCCAGCUCUCUCCAUGCAUGACAUAGCAGUAAAAAAGAAAAAAUCUAAAUGCUGUUUAUUCAGCAACUGAAUCUUAGCCAAAAUGAACUAAUAUUUACUAUGGUUAGAGGUAAUUUUACAUAUAUAGUAAGCACAUAAGGCACUCGUAACAUUUGAAAGCCUGAGAUUUGCAUUAUCCUGUAGGCUCUUCUAUUUUUUUAGAUGUAUAUCAACAGAAUUAAACACAGGCAUUUACAGGGAAAAAAAAUUAGUUUUGCUAAGGCUGAGAUAAGCAAAUAAAAGAAAAUAAAUACAAUGCUAAAGUUGCUAAUGAUCUAUUCUCAACAAAAUUCUUACAGUAGCGUGCUCUCCUUUCCUUUCUAGCAAUAUGUAAUUCUCUGCAGGGAUGUCAAGGGGACCAUUCUCUCAAUUUUCCUAUCAAGCCAACAUCUGCUAAAUGCAGCAUGACAUGCUGUUUACCUUUCUUGUAAACUUGAGGCUUUUCCAUUUAAGAAUUGUAUAAAUGAAUCAGUAUUCAUUCACACCUAUGCCUAGAAGUAUCCAUUACAAAGCAGAGAGUGCUCAUUUUUAAUCUCCUCCUUAUUCUGAUUUUAUGCCACAUUCCUUUGCACUGAUGCUGUUUGGAAUUGCCCUACAUAUAUUAACAAAUGCAAGGAAAGUAAAACCGAAAAUAAUGAUGAUGUUCCCCUCAUUUUCUGCAUUUCUUGACAAAGGUGAUAAAAAUGCAGAGGUAAAAAGUGUUGCCAUAUAUCUCCUUUAAACUCAGUAGUUUAACAAAUAGCUACAAAAGAGAAGUUUUGUCCUCUGCUCCAAAAACCAAGAUGACAAAAAUCCCAAACUAUAUAUUUAGAUUUGCCUUCUAAAAUCCUGUGCAAUAUUUAGUAACUUGUAUUUGAUGGCAGAAUUUCCAAGGGAAAUAGUAGGGGGUUGUCUGUUUUGUUUUGAUUUUUUAAAACGUAUGUACAUUUCUCAUCUGCUGAAAGGAAAUCUACCCACAUCAGCAAAAAGCACAGGUGAAAAGACAAAUUAACAGGAAAAAAUGCAACCACCCUUUCUUUAGUGAAUGCCUUUGAAUCAAAGUAAUUUUUAUCAUGCUGCAGAAACUCUCUAUUUGAACAAGCACCCAGUAACAUCACUUGUCCCUCUAAUUGUCUUCAUUACUGAGACAGAAGCAGCCUUUGUUGAUCACACAGAGCAUUCUCUAAAAUCCAUUUUUCCAAUUAGGUUUUUAUUCUCUUUCUUCUGCUUUUAUUUAGUUUUGAGCACAAUUACAUCUAUGCUUGGGUUAACUUGUGGCAGUAAGGCAUUUGCAGAAGCUGUUGCUCUCAGUAACGUUGGCUAUUACUGAUUACAGCUUUGCUCAAGGCAGAUUCCUUGUUCUAAAUGGCAUUGAACAUUUUUACCUGGAUAUUGCAACACCGCAUUAUGAGCGCUGGGAUAUAAACAGAGCAGUAAGCAGUGCUGCUGGCCUCAGGAUUUAAACAAUAAGCCAGGAAACUUGUGUGUGGAGACACAGCUAGAAAAUCGAGCUACCACCAAAGCGGCUGAUGCAAUGUCUGUAUCUUUCUCUAAUUUGCUACUGACCAAUUAUUACAUUCAACUCUGAAUCACAGUCCUAAAUAAUAAAGGUCAAAGUUUUCAUGGA
Non-coding RNA from Zonotrichia albicollis (white-throated sparrow), 11767 nucleotides. The record is from RefSeq and is a predicted model, not a curated record. Lineage: Eukaryota; Metazoa; Chordata; Aves; Passeriformes; Passerellidae.